This 600-nucleotide ribosomal RNA is filed under the name Triticum aestivum (bread wheat). Its description in RNAcentral is "partial small subunit ribosomal RNA". The record is from RNAcentral. Lineage: Eukaryota; Viridiplantae; Streptophyta; Magnoliopsida; Poales; Poaceae.
AUGUCCCCACCACCAGCCGGCGCCGCCGCCUCGCCGCACCUCCCGCACCUGUUGUUCCCUACCACUACGACCACCACCGUGGGUGCAGGGGCUGGAGCAGCAACGAUGGAGGCGCGGCAAGAGGGGCAGGUGGCGCAUGUGCGGAGCCAAGCGUCGACGCAAACAACGUGGAAGGUGUGGCAGCACCGCGGGAGAACGCGCACGCCCUCCCCCUCUGCGAACUCGGCCAGGCAUAUCGCACACUCCGUUGCUGCCGGCUGUGGUGACGCUGCGGCGGCAAAGGAGACGGUGGGGAGCGCGUCGAUUGCCUUCUUCUUGAGGCCCUUUUGGGGUGGGUUAGAGGAGGAAGUGGAGCUGGAGCGUCGGUGUCGGCAUGCACACCGGGAGGCGAGUGCGAGUCCAAGGACGCAGACGAGCGCGCACAGCAGCGAUGCCAGGAUGACCGUCAUGUCCGAGUCCAACGCCAUCGGCGCCGCCUGCUCCGGUGGUGGCUGUGUUGAGGCAGGCGACGACGACGAGGCCUCUCCAGUACCGGCAGCGAUAAGGGCGGCCGCGCGGUGCAGGACUCUCGCCGGGGCGCGCAUGGUGUCGCUGAAGUAA